RNAcentral lists this unclassified non-coding RNA (200 nucleotides) under Sordariaceae sp. RNAcentral's name for it is "partial internal transcribed spacer 2". The record is from RNAcentral. Lineage: Eukaryota; Fungi; Ascomycota; Sordariomycetes; Sordariales; Sordariaceae.
UUAAGUUCAGCGGGUAUUCCUACCUGAUCCGAGGUCAACCUUAGAAAUUGGGGGUUUUACGGCAAGAACCCGCCGCACGACCAUAGCGAUGUAGAGUUACUACGCUCGGUGUGACUAGCGAGCCCGCCACUGUUUUGAGGGACCGCGGGCAGCCGCGGAUCCCCAACGCAAGCAGAGCUUGAUGGUUGAAAUGACGCUCG